RNAcentral lists this ribosomal RNA (370 nucleotides) under uncultured organism. Its description in RNAcentral is "bacterial SSU rRNA". It matches the Rfam family "Bacterial small subunit ribosomal RNA", at positions 526 to 896 of the family's 1533-position model. The record is from RNAcentral.
CGUAGGGUGCGAGCGUUAAUCGGAAUUACUGGGCGUAAAGCGUGCGCAGGCGGUUUGUUAAGAUAGGCGUGAAAUCCCCGGGCUCAACCUGGGAACUGCGCUUAUGACUGGCAAGCUAGAGUACGGCAGAGGGGGUGGAAUUCCACGUGUAGCAGUGAAAUGCGUAGAGAUGUGGAGGAACACCAAUGGCGAAGGCAGCCCCCUGGGUCGAUACUGACGCUCAUGCACGAAAGCGUGGGUAGCAAACAGGAUUAGAUACCCUGGUAGUCCACGCCCUAAACGAUGUCAACUAGGUGUGGGAGGGUAAAACCUUUUAGUACCGGAGCUAACGCGUGAAGUUGACCGCCUGGGGAGUACGGCCGCAAGGUUA